UUCGACACUUGGCUGUAAAAACUGGAAGAUGUGUGUGUGUGUGUGUGUGUGUGUGUGUGUGUGGUUGAAGCUGGUCUCACAAAGACCAGAUCUUGGCUCACAACUGCAGCAGGAAUGUGGUUGUGCUGUAAAAAUCUCAUAAAGGGCCGGUGGGGUGGUGGACUGCAGCUGUUUGUUGAUGACCAUUUGACAUUUACUUAGAUUUCACCGUGUUGUGCCGGAGCCAAGCAUCAAAUCUGAAAUAAUCAUCCAGGAAUCCAGGACCGUUGUGAGAAUAUUCCAGUCCACCUGCAGCAAGGGCUUCUGUUCCUGCCACCUGCUCUCAUUUCUCAGGAGAGGCACUGCUAGAAAUGGAUCGAUUCUGUUUUUUUCUGAUCCAGGCCUGUUUCACGACCUCCGCUUCCCGGUUUCUACAUUUUUAAAGGCAUGAAUAUUUGCAUGUGAGCCUUGAACAUCUUUCUUCUCCAAUGCUCACGAUUACACCCACAUUAUCCUAAACUCUGGAUUUUGUAUGCAUGCCUUUCCCACUUCAUUUUUUUGUACCCACCCAGAAGUGGAGAUCUCUGUUACAAAACGAACAACAACAAAAAAAUUAAGAAGUACACAGUUGGUUGGAUAACUGUGCUCUGAUUCAUGGAUCAGCCCAACCAUUGCAAAAUAACUCCACUCCCUUAAAAACCUUCCA
Molecule: long non-coding RNA, 685 nt
Organism: Ahaetulla prasina
Lineage: Eukaryota; Metazoa; Chordata; Lepidosauria; Squamata; Colubridae
Exons: 3
Source: RefSeq, a predicted model, not a curated record